This 1477-nucleotide ribosomal RNA is filed under the name uncultured bacterium. RNAcentral describes it as "partial 16S ribosomal RNA". It matches the Rfam family "Bacterial small subunit ribosomal RNA". The record is from RNAcentral.
AGGGUUUGAUCAUGGCUCAGGACGAACGCUGGCGGCGUGCUUAACACAUGCAAGUCGAACGAUGAAGUUCCUUCGGGAAUGGAUUAGUGGCGAACGGGUGAGGAUCACGUGAGAAACCUGCCUUUCAUUUUGGGAUAACUCCGGGAAACCGGGGCUAAUACCGGAUACUCCGUCUCUGCGGCAUCGCGGAGCCGGGAAAAAAUUUUGAUGAAAGAUGGUCUCGCGGCCUAUCAGCUAGUUGGUGAGGUAACGGCUCACCAAGGCGACGACGGGUAGCCGGCCUGAGAGGGCGACCGGCCACACUGGGACUGAGACACGGCCCAGACUCCUACGGGAGGCAGCAGUGGGGAAUAUUGGGCAAUGGGCGCAAGCCUGACCCAGCGACGCCGCGUGAGGGAUGAAGGCCUUCGGGUUGUAAACCUCUUUCAGUAGGGAAGAAGCGAAAGUGACGGUACCUAAAGAAGAAGCACCGGCUAACUAUGUGCCAGCAGCCGCGGUAAUACAUAGGGUGCAAGCGUUGUCCGGAAUUAUUGGGCGUAAAGAGCUCGUAGGUCGUUUGACACGUCGAUUGUGAAAAUCUGAGGCUCAACCUCAGACCUGCAGUCGAUACGGUCAAACUAGAGUGUGGUAGGGGAGACUGGAAUUCCUGGUGUAGCGGUGGAAUGCGCAGAUAUCAGGAGGAACACCAAUGGCGAAGGCAGGUCUCUGGGCCAUAACUGACACUGAGGAGCGAAAGCGCGGGGAGCGAACAGGAUUAGAUACCCUGGUAGUCCGCGCCGUAAACGGUGGGCACUAGCUGUGGGUCCCUUCCACGGGAUCCGCGACGCAGCAAACGCAUUAAGUGCCCCGCCUGGGGAGUACGAUCGCAAGAUUAAAACUCAAAGGAAUUGACGGGGCCCCGCACAAGCAGCGGAGCAUGCGGCUUAAUUCGACGCAACGCGAAGAACCUUACCAAGGCUUGACAUAUAGCGAAAAGUGGCAGAGAUGUCAUGUCCGCAAGGGCGCUAUACAGGUGGUGCAUGGCUGUCGUCAGCUCGUGUCGUGAGAUGUUGGGUUAAGUCCCGCAACGAGCGCAACCCUUGCCAUUAAUUGCCAUCAUUUAGUUGGGCACUUUAAUGGGACUGCCGGUGACAAACCGGAGGAAGGUGGGGAUGACGUCAAGUCCUCAUGGCCCUUAUGGCCAGGGCUUCACACGUAAUACAAUGGUCGGUACAGAGGGUUGCCAACCCGCGAGGGGGAGCCAAUCCCAGAAAGCCGAUCGUAGUCCGGAUUGUAGUCUGCAACUCGACUGCAUGAAGUCGGAAUCGCUAGUAAUCGCGGAUCAGCAUGUCGCGGUGAAUACGUUCCCGGGCCUUGUACACACCGCCCGUCACACCAUGGGAGUGGGUUUUACCAGAAGUAGUUAGUCUAACCGUAAGGGAGACGAUUACCACGGUAGGAUUCAUGACUGGGGUGAAGUCGUAACAAGGUAACCGUA